UACGUAGGGUGCGAGCGUUAUUCGGAAUUACUGGGCGUAAAGCGUGCGCAGGCGGUUUUGUAAGUCGGAUGUGAAAUCCCCGGGCUUAACCUGGGAAUGGCAUUCGGGACUGCAAGGCUGGAGUGCGGCAGAGGAGACUGGAAUUCCUGGUGUAGCAGUGAAAUGCGUAGAUAUCAGGAGGAACACCGAUGGCGAAGGCAGGUCUCUGGGCUGACACUGACGCUCAUGCACGAAAGCGUGGGGAGCAAACAGG
Molecule: ribosomal RNA, 253 nt
Filed under: uncultured bacterium
Lineage: Bacteria
Description: partial 16S ribosomal RNA
Rfam family: Bacterial small subunit ribosomal RNA
Source: RNAcentral